RNAcentral lists this transfer RNA (93 nucleotides) under Alphaproteobacteria bacterium. RNAcentral's name for it is "tRNA-Ser". It matches the Rfam family "tRNA". Rfam says of the family: Transfer RNA (tRNA) molecules are approximately 80 nucleotides in length. Their secondary structure includes four short double-helical elements and three loops (D, anti-codon, and T loops). Lineage: Bacteria; Pseudomonadati; Pseudomonadota; Alphaproteobacteria. The record is from RNAcentral.
GGAUACGUGGCCGAGUGGCUGAAGGCGCGCCCCUGCUAAGGGUGUAUGGGAUUUAUAGUCUCAUCGAGGGUUCGAAUCCCUCCGUGUCCGCCA